Molecule: unclassified non-coding RNA, 433 nt
Filed under: Hevea brasiliensis (rubber tree)
Lineage: Eukaryota; Viridiplantae; Streptophyta; Magnoliopsida; Malpighiales; Euphorbiaceae
Source: RNAcentral
UCAGUUGAAUCACAAAAAGGGCAGUCAGAGCAUGGAAGGCUUCUGGCCAAUCCAUGAUCUUAUAUCCUAUUGUAGCCUACUCUUGAGUGGUUUCAUCUACUAAAUUAAUGUUGAUUAUAAUUAUCAUAAGCUAUGUUAAUGUAGUUAAUGACACAUUUAGAGAUACUUCACCUGUGUCUUUGUAAGAAUGCCAAUUAUACAAUGAUCCCAAAAAGAAAUGUUUCUUAAUACAAGAUGAAAUGAAAAGGAAAACAACUUCAAAUUUGUUUUUAAUGGAUACAAAUCUGAGGGGAGAAACGAAGAUUAACACCUUUUUAUUAUGACUUCCAAAUGAAAAGUGAAUAUAUAGUGAGCUUUGCAUAUGCUAGAAGUGAAAUCUGAGCUUAUGAUUUCAAUGUAUAAAUAAAUAAUAGAAAGAACCCUUAUAUUAAAG